UGCCCAUGAACUUCAGCAAUGCCAGGGG
RNAcentral lists this non-coding RNA (28 nucleotides) under Bombyx mori (domestic silkworm). The record is from RNAcentral. Lineage: Eukaryota; Metazoa; Arthropoda; Insecta; Lepidoptera; Bombycidae.